RNAcentral lists this unclassified non-coding RNA (466 nucleotides) under uncultured Bordetella sp. RNAcentral's name for it is "partial 16S-23S ribosomal RNA intergenic spacer". It matches the Rfam family "Bacterial small subunit ribosomal RNA", at positions 340 to 794 of the family's 1533-position model. Lineage: Bacteria; Pseudomonadati; Pseudomonadota; Betaproteobacteria; Burkholderiales; Alcaligenaceae. The record is from RNAcentral.
UACAGGAGCGCAGCAGUGGGGAAUUUUGGACAAUGGAAAACCCUGAUCCAGCCAUCCGCGUGUGCGAUGAAGGCCUUCGGGUUGUAAAGCACUUUUGGCAGGGAAAGAAACGGCGCAGGAUAAUACCCGAUGCAACUGACGAACACCUGCAGAAUAAGCACCGGCUAACUACGUGCCAGCAGCCGCGAUAAUACGUAGGGUGCAAGCGUUAAUCGGAAUUACUGGGCGUAAAGCGUGCGCAGGCGGUUCGGAAAGAAGAUGUGAAAUCCCGGAAGCUUAACUUUGGAACUGCAUUUUUAACUACCGAGCUAGAGUGUGUCAGAGGGAGGUGGAAUUCCGCGUGUAGCAGUGAAAUGCGUAGAUAUGCGGAGGAACACCGAUGGCGAAGGCAGCCUCCUGGGAUAACACUGACGCUCAUGCACGAAAGCAUUAAGAAGAACCAAACAGGAUUAGAUACUGGCGUAGU